GAUGAACGCUGGCGGCGUGCCUAAUACAUGCAAGUCGAGCGAACAGACGAGGAGCUUGCUCCUCUGACGUUAGCGGCGGACGGGUGAGUAACACGUGGAUAACCUACCUAUAAGACUGGGAUAACUUCGGGAAACCGGAGCUAAUACCGGAUAAUAUAUUGAACCGCAUGGUUCAAUAGUGAAAGACGGUUUUCCUGUCACUUAUAGAUGGAUCCGCGCCGCAUUAGCUAGUUGGUAAGGUAACGGCUUACCAAGGCGACGAUGCGUAGCCGACCUGAGAGGGUGAUCGGCCACACUGGAACUGAGACACGGUCCAGACUCCUACGGGAGGCAGCAGUAGGGAAUCUUCCGCAAUGGGCGAAAGCCUGACGGAGCAACGCCGCGUGGGUGAUGAAGGUCUUCGGAUCGUAAAACUCUGUUAUUAGGGAAGAACAAAUGUGUAAGUAACUAUGCACGUCUUGACGGUACCUAAUCAGAAAGCCACGGCUAACUACGUG
This 497-nucleotide ribosomal RNA is filed under the name uncultured bacterium. Its description in RNAcentral is "partial 16S ribosomal RNA". It matches the Rfam family "Bacterial small subunit ribosomal RNA", at positions 28 to 507 of the family's 1533-position model. The record is from RNAcentral.